Eriocheir sinensis (Chinese mitten crab) is the source of this 785-nucleotide long non-coding RNA. RefSeq lists it as uncharacterized. The transcript is spliced from 4 exons. The record is from RefSeq and is a predicted model, not a curated record. Lineage: Eukaryota; Metazoa; Arthropoda; Malacostraca; Decapoda; Varunidae.
AGGUUAAAACAGCAAGGGAGAAUUAAGGGAUCGAGGAACAUGCCAUCCCAACCCCCAGGCAGGACAGUGUGUGAUUAUACAGCUAUUAAUACAUGUGUGAACGCUACUUUUCUGUAAAUGACUCCGCGGUUCGAACAAGCUGAAGUACUCGACCAUCUCCGCUAGUGACUCCAACUCCUCUUGUGCGCCGCCCGUUCUCGUGGAGGCAAGUGUCCGGGGAGUGUUUACGUUUAAUAAGACUGAUUUGUGACCGAUGGCUUUAUUAAUAGUGAAACUGGACGUUUAAGAAGAUUCCAUGGCGGGUCUGAUUUCUUUAAAUGCACAGAUCUACACAUUGAGAAUUCAGAGAGAUCUAGGAGAGAAGACUGCAGUGGUGUGGACAUGUGAUGAGCAGAACAGAAGACUAUGUGGGCAGAAGUGUUGAAGAUGAAGGUUGUAGGAAGAGGGAAGAGAGAAGGCCAAGGAGAAGAUAGACAGAUUACAUAGAAGACUUGAUGGCAAAGGGAUUGGAGGAAUGGGACACGAGUGAAAGGAGUAAAUGGAGACGGCAUAGCAGGAACAGUGAAGCCACAUGAAAGAUGGAAAAAACUGAUGUAGCCAUUUGCUGACCAGCCAGAAAGGGAAGAUGAACAGCUGGGUGACCUGGACAUGCAGAGACCACCGUGGGUCAAGACUGAACUGAGGCUUUCGGAUUAGCAACAUUACAUGCUAACCUCUACACUACAUCUUUUUGCAGACCAAAUUUGACUGAAAUAACACUUCAAUAUUCUUCAAAUAUUAUUUCU